Molecule: ribosomal RNA, 462 nt
Filed under: Triticum aestivum (bread wheat)
Lineage: Eukaryota; Viridiplantae; Streptophyta; Magnoliopsida; Poales; Poaceae
Description: partial small subunit ribosomal RNA
Source: RNAcentral
AUGUGGGUACAGUUACUGCAUAACAAGUACCUUCAGUCUAAACCCUUGGCCUAGGUUAUCGUUAGCCUCAAUGAUUCACCUUUUUGGAAGGGAUUGAUAAGAGUGAAAAUAAAUGUCUUCCAUAGAACAAAAUUCAUCAUUGGAAACGGUAAUUCUGCUAGACUCUGGGUGGAUGCAUGGCUAUGGGAGGCGCCUCUGGCCACACAAUAUCCGUCCAUGUAUAAUAUUGUACAACAUCGUAAGGACGCAUAUGUUGCUACAGUAUUACAGUCUUCACCUCUAAACAUUCAGUUCCGAAGGUCUUUAGUAGGAGACUGAUGGAACGAUUGGCUAAAUCUCGUACGACGGUUGAUGGACGUUCAACUCUCUAAUGAACCAGAUACGAUUCACUGGAGACUAUCGAUGAACGGUGUGUUUUUAGUGAACGAAAUAUGUAUAUGGCAACCGUGUGGCAGAUUGUGA